GACGAACCGUGCAAACGUUGUUCGGAAUCACUGGGCUUAAAGGGCGCGUAGGCGGCCCGCGAGGUCGGGGGUGAAAUCCCACCGCUCAACGGUGGAAGGGCCUCCGAUACCGGCGGGCUGGAGGAAGGUAGGGGUGCGCGGAACUUCUGGUGGAGCGGUGAAAUGCGUUGAUAUCAGAAGGAACGCCGGCGGCGAAAGCGGCGCACUGGACCUUUUCUGACGCUGAGGCGCGAAAGCCAGGGGAGCAAACGGG
Molecule: ribosomal RNA, 253 nt
Filed under: uncultured bacterium
Lineage: Bacteria
Description: partial 16S ribosomal RNA
Rfam family: Bacterial small subunit ribosomal RNA
Source: RNAcentral